Molecule: ribosomal RNA, 500 nt
Filed under: uncultured bacterium
Lineage: Bacteria
Description: bacterial SSU rRNA
Rfam family: Bacterial small subunit ribosomal RNA
Source: RNAcentral
AGAGUUUGAUCAUGGCUCAGAACGAACGCUGGCGGCAGGCCUAACACAUGCAAGUCGAACGCCCCCUUCGGGGGGAGUGGCGCACGGGUGAGUAACGCGUGGGAAUCUGCCCUUUGGUCUGGAAUAACCCUGGGAAACUAGGGCUAACACCGGAUAAGCCCGAGAGGGGAAAGUUUACGCCGAAGGAGGAGCCCGCGUCCGAUUAGCUAGUUGGUGAGGUAAGAGCUCACCAAGGCUACGAUCGGUAGCUGGUCUGAGAGGACGAUCAGCCACACUGGGACUGAGACACGGCCCAGACUCCUACGGGAGGCAGCAGUGGGGAAUAUUGGACAAUGGGCGCAAGCCUGAUCCAGCCAUGCCGCGUGAGUGAAGAAGGCCUUCGGGUUGUAAAGCUCUUUCGCAAGGAAAGAAAACUUAUCUACUAAUACUAGGUGAGGUUGACGGUACCUUGAUAAGAAGCACCGGCUAACUACGUGCCAGCAGCCGCGGUAAUACGUAGG